AAGUGGUUCCGCGCCGACAAUGUAGCGGGGCUCAAGUACACCGCCGAAGCUGUGGCAUUCACAUAAUAACCCCGCCUAAACUUUCGGGUUUGGGUGCAGGUGUGUGGAUGGGUAGGGGAGCGUCGUGCCGCGGGUGAAGCAGCCGAGUGAUCGAGUUGUGGACGCGGUGCGAGUGAGAAUGCAGGCAUGAGUAGCGCAAGAAGGGUGAGAAACCCUUCCGCCGGAUGACCAAGGGUUCCAGGGCCAGGUUAAUCCGCCCUGGGUGAGUCGGGACCUAAGGCGAGGCCGAGAGGCGUAGUCGAUGGACAACGGGUUGAUAUUCCCGUACCCGCGAAAGAGCGUCCCUGAUGAACCUCGCUGUGCUAACCACCCGAGCUCUGGAAGGUCUUCGGACUGACUGGGGGGAGCGUGGGAACCUGGUGGGUAGUAGUCAAGCGAUGGGGUGACGCAGGAAGGUAGCUGAUCCCGGCCGGUGGUUGUGCCGGGGUAAGCGUGUAGGCCGGUGUGUAGGCAAAUCCGCACACAAUGAAGGCUGAGACGUGAUGCCGAGCCGAUUCAGGUGAAGUCAGUGAUCCUAUGCUGCCGAGAAAAGCCUCUAGCGAGUUCUUAGCGGCCCGUACCCCAAACCGACACAGGUGGUCAGGUAGAGAAUACCAAGGCGACGGGCGAACUGUGGUUAAGGAACUCGGCAAAUUACCCCCGUAACUUCGGGAGAAGGGGGGCCGGACACGUGAAGCAACACGCUUGUGGAGCGUGGUAUGGCCGCAGAGACCAGGGGGAAGCGACUGUUUACUAAAAACACAGGUCCAUGCGAAGAAGUAAUUCGAUGUAUAUGGACUGACGCCUGCCCGGUGCUGGAACGUUAAGGGGACCUGUUAGCUCUUCGGGGCGAAGCGGAGAACUUAAGCGCCAGUAAACGGCGGUGGUAACUAUAACCAUCCUAAGGUAGCGAAAUUCCUUGUCGGGUAAGUUCCGACCUGCACGAAUGGCGUAACGACUUCCCUACUGUCUCAACCACAGGCCCGGCGAAAUUGCAGUACGAGUAAAGAUGCUCGUUACGCGCGGCAGGACGGAAAGACCCCGGGACCUUUACUAUAGCUUGACAUUGGUAUCUGAGUUAAUUUGUGUAGGAUAGGUGGGAGCCUGUGAAGCUCGUACGCCAGUACGGGUGGAGGCAAUCUUGAAAUACCACUCUGGUUGAUUCGGGUAUCUAACUUCGGACCGUGAUCCGGUUCAGGGACAGUGUCUGGUGGGUAGUUUAACUGGGGCGGUUGCCUCCUAAAGAGUAACGGAGGCGCCCAAAGGUUCCCUCAGCCUGGUUGGCAAUCAGGUGUUGAGUGUAAGUGCACAAGGGAGCUUGACUGUGAGACUGACAGGUCGAGCAGGGACGAAAGUCGGGACUAGUGAUCCGGCACCGGCAUGUGGAAGCGGUGUCGCUCAACGGAUAAAAGGUACCCCGGGGAUAACAGGCUGAUCUUCCCCAAGAGUCCAUAUCGACGGG
RNAcentral lists this ribosomal RNA (1501 nucleotides) under metagenome. Its description in RNAcentral is "bacterial LSU rRNA". It matches the Rfam family "Bacterial large subunit ribosomal RNA", at positions 1151 to 2512 of the family's 2925-position model. The record is from RNAcentral.